CCCUUAGAUGUUCUGGGCCGCACGCGCGCUACACUGAUACGUUCAGCGAGUAUAUAACCUUGAUUGGAAAAUCUGGGUAAUCUUUUGAAUGCGUAUCGUGCUAGGGAUAGAUUAUUGCAAUUAUUAAUCUUGAACGAGGAAUUCCUAGUAAACGCAAGUCAUCAGCUUGCAUUGAUUACGUCCCUGCCCUUUGUACACACCGCCUGUCGCACAAACCGAUUGAAUGAUUCGGUGAAAAUUUUGGACAUCGAGAGUGGUGAUUAAUUUCGCUGCUCUUAAAUGGGAAGAAUUUAAACCUAAUUAUUUAGAGGAUUGUGAAGUCAUAACA
RNAcentral lists this ribosomal RNA (328 nucleotides) under uncultured eukaryote. RNAcentral describes it as "partial 18S ribosomal RNA". It matches the Rfam family "Eukaryotic small subunit ribosomal RNA", at positions 1470 to 1796 of the family's 1831-position model. The record is from RNAcentral.